This 497-nucleotide ribosomal RNA is filed under the name uncultured bacterium. RNAcentral's name for it is "partial 16S ribosomal RNA". It matches the Rfam family "Bacterial small subunit ribosomal RNA", at positions 28 to 507 of the family's 1533-position model. The record is from RNAcentral.
GAUGAACGCUGGCGGCGUGCCUAAUACAUGCAAGUCGAGCGAACAGACGAGGAGCUUGCUCCUCUGACGUUAGCGGCGGACGGGUGAGUAACACGUGGAUAACCUACCUAUAAGACUGGGAUAACUUCGGGAAACCGGAGCUAAUACCGGAUAAUAUAUUGAACCGCAUGGUUCAAUAGUUAAAGACGGUUUUGCUGUCACUUAUAGAUGGAUCCGCGCCGCAUUAGCUAGUUGGUAAGGUAACAGCUUACCAAGGCAACGAUGCGUAGCCGACCUGAGAGGGUGAACGGGCAACAUUGAAAUUGAGACAGGGGCAAGAUCCCUACGGAGGGCAGAGGAGGGGAAUCUUCGGAAAGGGCGGAAAGCCUAAGGAGGAAACGCGGCGGGAGGGAGAAAGGACUUCGAAUGGUAAACUCUGUUAUUAGGGAAGAACAAAUGUGUAAGUAACUAUGCACGUCUUGACGGUACCUAAUCAGAAAGCCACGGCUAACUACGUG